GCUGAUCCAUGUCGUCCUCGGGGCCUAUGCAGACGGUCUCGAUAGCUUUUUGC
This 53-nucleotide small RNA is filed under the name Sinorhizobium meliloti 2011. RNAcentral describes it as "putative ncRNA". The record is from RNAcentral. Lineage: Bacteria; Pseudomonadati; Pseudomonadota; Alphaproteobacteria; Hyphomicrobiales; Rhizobiaceae.